Molecule: ribosomal RNA, 305 nt
Filed under: uncultured bacterium
Lineage: Bacteria
Description: bacterial SSU rRNA
Rfam family: Bacterial small subunit ribosomal RNA
Source: RNAcentral
UUGAUCCUACGGGGGGCAGCAGUGGGGAAUAUUGCACAAUGGGGGAAACCCUGAUGCAGCGACGCCGCGUGAGUGAAGAAGUAAUUCGUUACGUAAAGCUCUAUCAGCAGGGAAGAAAUACUGACCUUACGGUCAGCAGACGGUACCUGAGUAAGAAGCCCCGGCUAACUACGUGCCAGCAGCCGCGGUAAUACGUAGGGGGCAAGCGUUAUCCGGAUUUACUGGGUGUAAAGGGAGCGUAGGCGGCCAUGCAAGUCAGAAGUGAAAACCCGGGGCUCAACCCUGGGAGUGCUUUUGAAACUGUG